AGUGAACGCUGGCGGUAGGCCUAACACAUGCGAGUCGAACGGCAGCACAGUAAGAGCUUGCUCUUACGGGUGGCGAGUGGCGGACGGGUGAGGAAUACAUCGGAAUCUACUUUUUCGUGGGGGAUAACGUAGGGAAACUUACGCUAAUACCGCAUACGACCUACGGGUGAAAGCAUGGGAUCUUCGGACCUUGCGCGAUUGAAUGAGCCGAUGUCGGAUUAGCUAGUUGGCGGGGUAAAGGCCCACCAAGGCGACGAUCCGUAGCUGGUCUGAGAGGAUGAUAGGCCACACUGAACCUGAGACACGGUCCAGACUCCUACGGGAGGCAGCAGUGGGGAAUAUUGGAAAAUGGGCGCAAGCCUGAUCCAGCCAUACCGCGUGGGUGAAGAAGGCCUUCGGGUUGUAAAGCCCUUUUGUUGGGAAAGAAAAGAAGCAGGUUAAUACCCCGCUGUUCUGACGGUACCCAAAGAAUAAGCACCGGCUAACUUCGU
Molecule: ribosomal RNA, 491 nt
Filed under: uncultured bacterium
Lineage: Bacteria
Description: partial 16S ribosomal RNA
Rfam family: Bacterial small subunit ribosomal RNA
Source: RNAcentral